GCCUAACACAUGCAAGUCGAACGGUAACAUUUCUAGCUUGCUAGAAGAUGACGAGUGGCGGACGGGUGAGUAAUGCUUGGGAACUUGCCUUUGCGAGGGGGAUAACAGUUGGAAACGACUGCUAAUACCGCAUAAUGUCUUCGGACCAAACGGGGCUUCGGCUCCGGCGCAAAGAGAGGCCCAAGUGAGAUUAGCUAGUUGGUAAGGUAACGGCUUACCAAGGCGACGAUCUCUAGCUGUUCUGAGAGGAAGAUCAGCCACACUGGGACUGAGACACGGCCCAGACUCCUACGGGAGGCAGCAGUGGGGAAUAUUGCACAAUGGGGGAAACCCUGAUGCAGCCAUGCCGCGUGUGUGAAGAAGGCCUUCGGGUUGUAAAGCACUUUCAGUUGUGAGGAAAGGUUGGUAGUUAAUACCUGCCAGCUGUGACGUUAACAACAGAAGAAGCACCGGCUAACUCCGUGCCAGCAGCCGCGGUAAUACGGAGGGUGCGAGCGUUAAUCGGAAUUACUGGGCGUAAAGCGCACGCAGGCGGCUUGUUAAGCUAGAGGUGAAAGCCCCGCGCUCAACGUGGGAACUGCCUUUAGAACUGGCAGGCUAGAGUCUUGGAGAGGGGAGUGGAAUUCCAGGUGUAGCGGUGAAAUGCGUAGAUAUCUGGAGGAACAUCAGUGGCGAAGGCGGCUCCCUGGCCAAAGACUGACGCUCAUGUGCGAAAGUGUGGGUAGCGAACAGGAUUAGAUACCCUGGUAGUCCACACCGUAAACGCUGUCUACUAGCUGUUUGUGUAUUUAAUACGUGAGUAGCG
RNAcentral lists this ribosomal RNA (805 nucleotides) under uncultured Gammaproteobacteria bacterium. RNAcentral describes it as "bacterial SSU rRNA". It matches the Rfam family "Bacterial small subunit ribosomal RNA", at positions 46 to 848 of the family's 1533-position model. Lineage: Bacteria; Pseudomonadati; Pseudomonadota; Gammaproteobacteria. The record is from RNAcentral.